UGAGGAAUAUUGGUCAAUGGGCGCAAGCCUGAACCAGCCAUCCCGCGUGCAGGAUGACGGCCCUAUGGGUUGUAAACUGCUUUUAUACAGGAAGAAAAAUCUCUACGAAUAGGGACUUGCCGGUACUGUAUGAAUAAGAAUCGGCUAACUCCGUGCCAGCAGCCGCGGUAAUACGGAGGAUGCAAGCGUUAUCCGGAUUCAUUGGGUUUAAAGGGUGCGUAGGCGGCUCUUUAAGUCAGUGGGUAAAUCCGGGCGCUCAACGAUGUAAUGGCCAUUGAUACUG
RNAcentral lists this ribosomal RNA (283 nucleotides) under uncultured prokaryote. Its description in RNAcentral is "partial 16S ribosomal RNA". It matches the Rfam family "Bacterial small subunit ribosomal RNA", at positions 355 to 635 of the family's 1533-position model. The record is from RNAcentral.